RNAcentral lists this ribosomal RNA (542 nucleotides) under uncultured Glomus. RNAcentral's name for it is "SSU rRNA". It matches the Rfam family "Eukaryotic small subunit ribosomal RNA", at positions 556 to 1099 of the family's 1831-position model. The record is from RNAcentral. Lineage: Eukaryota; Fungi; Glomeromycota; Glomeromycetes; Glomerales; Glomeraceae.
CAAGUCUGGUGCCAGCAGCCGCGGUAAUUCCAGCUCCAAUAGCGUAUAUUAAAGUUGUUGCAGUUAAAAAGCUCGUAGUUGAAUUUCGGAAUCAGUUCGCUGGUCGUGCCUCUGGGAUGUACUGGUGUUUCUGGUUUCUCCCUUCUGAAGAACUGUCAUGUCAUUAAUUUGGUGUGGCGGGGAAUCAGGACUGUUACUUUGAAAAAAUUAGAGUGUUUAAAGCAGGCUCGCGCUUGAAUACAUUAGCAUGGAAUAAUGAAAUAGGACGUUUGAUCCUAUUUUGUUGGUUUCUAGGAUUGUCGUAAUGAUUAAUAGGGAUAGUUGGGGGCAUUAGUAUUCAAUUGUCAGAGGUGAAAUUCUUGGAUUUAUUGAAGACUAACUACUGCGAAAGCGUUUGCCAAGGAUGUUUUCAUUAAUCAAGAACGAAAGUUAGGGGAUCGAAGACGAUCAGAUACCGUCGUAGUCUUAACCAUAAACUAUGCCGACUAGGGAUCGGAUGAUGUUAAUUUUUUAAUGACUCAUUCGGCGCCUUACCGGAAACA